UCCAGACUCCUACGGGAGGCAGCAGUGGGGAAUAUUGGGCAAUGGGCGCAAGCCUGACCCAGCAACGCCGCGUGAAGGAGGAAGGCUUUCGGGUUGUAAACUUCUUUUAAGAGGGAAGAGAAGAAGACGGUACCUCUUGAAUAAGCCACGGCUAACUACGUGCCAGCAGCCGCGGUAAUACGUAGGUGGCAAGCGUUGUCCGGAUUUACUGGGUGUAAAGGGCGUGUAGCCGGGAAGGCAAGUCAGAUGUGAAAUCUGGAGGCUCAACCUCCAAAUUGCAUUUGAAACUGUUUUUCUUGAGUACUGGAGAGGCAGACGGAAUUCCUUGUGUAGCGGUGAAAUGCGUAGAUAUAAGGAGGAACACCAGUGGCGAAGGCGGUCUGCUGGACAGCAACUGACGGUGAGGCGCGAAAGCGUGGGGAGCAAACAGGAUUAGAUACCCUAGUAC
RNAcentral lists this ribosomal RNA (448 nucleotides) under uncultured bacterium. RNAcentral's name for it is "bacterial SSU rRNA". It matches the Rfam family "Bacterial small subunit ribosomal RNA", at positions 330 to 793 of the family's 1533-position model. The record is from RNAcentral.